Long non-coding RNA from Canis lupus familiaris (dog), 617 nucleotides. RefSeq lists it as uncharacterized. The transcript is spliced from 2 exons. The record is from RefSeq and is a predicted model, not a curated record. NCBI's taxonomy places the organism in Eukaryota, Metazoa, Chordata, Mammalia, Carnivora, Canidae.
CCUUAAGGAUAAUGUACAUGCGGGGAAGGACAAAAACCGUAAUGUGCUGAAGAUAAUCUAAGCAUGGACAAAAAAGCAAAAAUGUAGCUACAGAAGAAAAUUCUUGAAUAUAAAUGAAGUGUGUGCAAAACACAGCUUUGCAGAGGAGGGCCUCGCAGCACACUUUCGCAUUCCUACACGUUACGGGAUUCUGCUGUGCUUGGCCUUGAGUGGAUUGCUACUUGGGGAGGUGGCAAGGUUGUUAGUGUCCCCCAAGGAAACCCCCAAACCAGUAUCUAUGGAGAUAGUUAAAAACUUUUUCAUAUAUUUCAAAUCUCAUGCUCCUUAGCUGGUGUUUACUUAUUGUUGAGUUUACUUUGGUGAUGUGGUUGUUUGCUCUUCAAAGUGAAUGGUGAGGAGAAUACGAAGCUAAGAGUGAAGAGAAUAAUGGAGCCGCUCAGGUUACCAGCAAGGAAGAGUUCUGUCCUGUGAUGUUCAGGCCUAAUUCACCCCAACUGCAGUAGAAAAAGUAGUAAAGAGGACAGAGGAAAGAAAUGUGGACAACACCUGAAAGCUUGGCUGAUGGUUUCCUUCUGAGAGAUUGCUCACCCAACUUUUUGAAGAGUUUCUGACCUUUG